AUGAUCUGAAAAGGACAUUACAGGAGGGAGUAGUAGGAGUUGUGAUGUGUCGUUGUGCCCAAGCCAAUAGUCAAGAUCUGCAAGGUGUUCUCGAGCUUGUGCCGAAGGACUAAUCCUAGCUGUGAUGAAUAGAUUUAUUUUCUAAUUACUGAUCUCUCUAACAGCUGAAGCUUUGCAAGACAUCAAAAUCAUUCCAUGAUACAGUCGGAGGUGAGGCUACUGGGUACUGCUGGGAGGACAAGGAGCUCCUGCUGGUGUACGAGUAUAUGGGCAAGGGCUGGAGAAACAUAUCUUCAGAAGUGAGCCACACAGUGGGAGGGAAUGGCUAGAGGUGGCCUUUAGGAAGCCGUUGGAAGGAAUUUCGCAUGGCCAGUGCAAUAUUUUGGAUAUUUUGGACAUCCUAACUAGAGAUGAAUGCUUUUAGACAUCUUAACUAGAGAUGAAUAAUUUUGUUAAGACUUAGGUAAUGAAUUGUAAUGAGACGUGAACUGUGCAACUAGUGCAAACAUCUAGAAGCUAUGCGUUAUUCUAUCUCGAUGGGCAAACUGCCUUGAUGUAACUUAUUUCUCCAAGUUGUGAGC
Sorghum bicolor (sorghum) is the source of this 581-nucleotide long non-coding RNA. RefSeq lists it as uncharacterized. The record is from RefSeq and is a predicted model, not a curated record. The transcript has 3 exons. Lineage: Eukaryota; Viridiplantae; Streptophyta; Magnoliopsida; Poales; Poaceae.